RNAcentral lists this ribosomal RNA (507 nucleotides) under Triticum aestivum (bread wheat). RNAcentral describes it as "partial small subunit ribosomal RNA". The record is from RNAcentral. Lineage: Eukaryota; Viridiplantae; Streptophyta; Magnoliopsida; Poales; Poaceae.
AUGGAAUACAUUGGUAAUACAAAGGCUGGCUUGAAGCUGGUGAAACUGCUACUCAGGGAGGCGUUUGUGCUGGAGGCGAUGGGUAUCAUGCCUUCCAAGGAUGCUGUGUUGGCUGUUCUAACCAUGAGAAAAGGUGAGAUGCAAAACUGUCCCGACACCGCCAUCUCCUUCAACAAGCUCGGCCUUUUUGAAGAUAUCGGGAAGCAAUUGAGGAACUACCUGGCUAAUACGGAGACCUCGAUACAUCUCCCAUACCUCCGCCGCGGGGAGGCCUGUCUCGAAGUCAUGGCAAAGGCUACCUUUCAUUGCUUCUAUGAGCUCUGGGUGGAAUGCCAAAGAUUGCACGGCCAGGAAUCCCUAGCAAGCAGCAAGCAGUUACUUGGCCAGUAUACUCAUUCGCAGCAUCACUCUGGUCUCUGGCCAGUCAUGUUUGCAGCUUGCAGUGUUAAACUUUGGCGGAGUAGAAAUGACAGAGUUUCAACAGAAUACAGACUUCCACUGCAUUGA